Molecule: ribosomal RNA, 447 nt
Filed under: uncultured bacterium
Lineage: Bacteria
Description: bacterial SSU rRNA
Rfam family: Bacterial small subunit ribosomal RNA
Source: RNAcentral
UCGGGAAUUUUGGGCAAUGGGCGAAAGCCUGACCCAGCAACGCCGCGUGAAGGAUGAAGUAUUUCGGUAUGUAAACUUCGAAAGAAUAGGAAGAAUAAAUGACGGUACUAUUUAUAAGGUCCGGCUAACUACGUGCCAGCAGCCGCGGUAAUACGUAGGGACCAAGCGUUGUUCGGAUUUACUGGGCGUAAAGGGCGCGUAGGCGGCAAUUCAAGUCAUCUGUGAAAUCUCCGGGCUUAACUCGGAACGGUCAGAUGAUACUGCUUUGCUAGAGUGCAGAAGGGGCAAUCGGAAUUCUUGGUGUAGCGGUGAAAUGCGUAGAUAUCAAGAGGAACACCUGAGGUGAAGACGGGUUGCUGGGCUGAUACUGACGCUGAGGCGCGAAAGCUAGGGUAGCAAACGGGAUUAGAUACCCCAGUAGUCCCUGAGCGGGCUGGCAAGGCGCAU